Molecule: ribosomal RNA, 823 nt
Filed under: uncultured beta proteobacterium
Lineage: Bacteria; Pseudomonadati; Pseudomonadota; Betaproteobacteria
Description: bacterial SSU rRNA
Rfam family: Bacterial small subunit ribosomal RNA
Source: RNAcentral
GGCGGCAUGCUUUACACAUGCAAGUCGAACGGCAGCACGGACUUCGGUCUGGUGGCGAGUGGCGAACGGGUGAGUAAUAUAUCGGAACGUACCCAGAAGUGGGGGAUAACGUAGCGAAAGUUACGCUAAUACCGCAUACGAUCUACGGAUGAAAGUGGGGGAUCGCAAGACCUCAUGCUUUUGGAGCGGCCGAUAUCUGAUUAGCUAGUUGGUGAGGUAAAGGCUCACCAAGGCGACGAUCAGUAGCUGGUCUGAGAGGACGACCAGCCACACUGGAACUGAGACACGGUCCAGACUCCUACGGGAGGCAGCAGUGGGGAAUUUUGGACAAUGGGCGCAAGCCUGAUCCAGCAAUGCCGCGUGAGUGAAGAAGGCCUUCGGGUUGUAAAGCUCUUUUGUCAGGGAAGAAACGGUAGAGGCUAAUAUCCUUUGCUAAUGACGGUACCUGAAGAAUAAGCACCGGCUAACUACGUGCCAGCAGCCGCGGUAAUACGUAGGGUGCAAGCGUUAAUCGGAAUUACUGGGCGUAAAGCGUGCGCAGGCGGUUUUGUAAGUCUGACGUGAAAGCCCCGGGCUCAACCUGGGAAUUGCGUUGGAGACUGCAAGGCUUGAAUCUGGCAGAGGGGGGUAGAAUUCCACGUGUAGCAGUGAAAUGCGUAGAGAUGUGGAGGAACACCGAUGGCGAAGGCAGCCCCCUGGGUCAAGAUUGACGCUCAUGCACGAAAGCGUGGGGAGCAAACAGGAUUAGAUACCCUGGUAGUCCACGCCCUAAACGAUGUCUACUAGUUGUCGGGUUUUAAUUAACUUGGUAACGCAGCUAACG